UUUUAAAGACCUUAAGAAAUUAAAGUUAAAAAAAAACAGAGAAGAAUGGGAUACUACUGUUCCAUCGAUUUUUUUAGCAAUUCUGCUUCAUCUUCAAUUCCUGAAUCUAUUUGAUUAAUUUAGGGUGGAUAAAAAAUAUCAGAAAGUUGAGGCGGCUAGAACUGAAAAAUCCACUAUUUUAUCAAAAAUCCUUGCAAUUCCUGAGAUAGUCUUCUCGAAUAAUUCAUCGGCAGCUGAAGCUUAAGAAUGAUUUCAGUCGAUAUGGUGUUCGAGUGUGUUGGGUCCUUUCAGUUGGUUUUUCUUUAGUUGCUGAAUCUCAUUCAAUUCUUCUGAUGGUUUGAGACUACUUCAAAGAUAUUCAUUCUCAUUUUGAUCCUGGGUGGAUAUUCUGCUGCACUAUUGUUGCUGUAUCCUUAACUUUUGCUGUAUUUUCCUCACAUUUGCAGAUAUGUCUUGAUUCCUGAAGUAGCAUAUGAGGUGCAAAUGUAAUUCAAUUGGAGGAAUGACAAAUGAUAACUUUAGUUGUCGAGUGAUUGCUCGUGUUCAUACUUUGUCCAAAUGCUUGCAUUUUUAACCCAGUCGUACUGUGUAGACUUUGUGCAUAUGUUGCGUUUUAUUUUCAAGUUGGUGUUUAAAAUCAGUUAAAGACUGUUUUUCCUGGUGAUAACCUCGAAUUUUAAUGAAAUAUAAAAGUGUAUAACCACUACUUCUCUUAUUUAAUUGGGCCAAGUUAGGGUUAAUGGAUCAUGUUUUUAUCGCCCCCAUAUAGUUAAAUAUACAUUCAUAUAUGUUGCUGUGAGGGUUUUCAUGUUAGGGUAUCACGAGAUUAGUGCUCUUUGUCAAAGUU
Molecule: long non-coding RNA, 847 nt
Filed under: Nicotiana benthamiana
Lineage: Eukaryota; Viridiplantae; Streptophyta; Magnoliopsida; Solanales; Solanaceae
Description: long non-coding RNA (NBEN_LNC022357)
Source: RNAcentral